CUCAAGCCAUUUGAGCUCAAGUUCUCCUCGCCCGACUUUUAAAAGUACAAAAAUCCAUUCAAGGACUGCCCAGGGGGCUACAGAUUUCCGGACAUCUCGCAAUAUGUGGACUCCUCGCCAGAGUUUACACCCCCACCUGUGACCUCGAGAACUGAUGACGAAAUACAUGUCGCGAUCCGCUUGCCAGACUCGCCAGCACAUAACACGAACGCGCCUGAACCAUGUCGCAGUGCUGAAAACUUCAGCCUUCCCUGUUCUGUGACCCUGAGGAGGCGACGAGCAACAAAGAGCAUGUCUCCUCUUGCCUUCUCCGAAUUCUCACCGAUAAAUGCG
Long non-coding RNA from Dermacentor silvarum, 333 nucleotides. RefSeq lists it as uncharacterized. The record is from RefSeq and is a predicted model, not a curated record. Lineage: Eukaryota; Metazoa; Arthropoda; Arachnida; Ixodida; Ixodidae. The transcript is spliced from 3 exons.